UGAGCAAUCUGCCCUUCUCAUCGGAAUAAGCGUUGGAAACGACGUCUAAUGCCGAAUACGACCUCCUUUCGCAUGAUCGGAGGUGGAAAGCUCCGGCGGAGAAGGAUGAGCUCGCGGCCUAUCAACUAGUUGGUGUGGGUAACGCCACAAGGCGACGACGGGUAGCCGGCCUGAGAGGGUGACCGGCCACACGUGGGACUGAGACACGGCCCAGACCUCCGUAACGGGGAGCAGCAAGG
Molecule: ribosomal RNA, 239 nt
Filed under: uncultured bacterium
Lineage: Bacteria
Description: partial 16S ribosomal RNA
Rfam family: Bacterial small subunit ribosomal RNA
Source: RNAcentral